GAUGAACGCUGGCGGCGUGCCUAAUACAUGCAAGUAGAACGCUGAAGGAGGAGCUUGCUCUUCUGGAUGAGUUGCGAACGGGUGAGUAACGCGUAGGUAACCUGCCUGGUAGCGGGGGAUAACUAUUGGAAACGAUAGCUAAUACCGCAUGACAACAGUUAUUGCAUGAUAACUGUUUAAAAGGGGCAACUGCUCCACUACCAGAUGGACCUGCGUUGUAUUAGCUAGUUGGUGAGGUAACGGCUCACCAAGGCGACGAUACAUAGCCGACCUGAGAGGGUGAUCGGCCACACUGGGACUGAGACACGGCCCAGACUCCUACGGGAGGCAGCAGUAGGGAAUCUUCGGCAAUGGACGGAAGUCUGACCGAGCAACGCCGCGUGAGUGAAGAAGGUUGUCGGAUCGUAAAGCUCUGCUGUAAGAGAAGAACGAGUGUGAGAGUGGAAAGUUCACACUGUGACGGUAUCUUACCAGAAAGGGACGGCUAACUACGUG
RNAcentral lists this ribosomal RNA (495 nucleotides) under uncultured bacterium. RNAcentral's name for it is "partial 16S ribosomal RNA". It matches the Rfam family "Bacterial small subunit ribosomal RNA", at positions 28 to 507 of the family's 1533-position model. The record is from RNAcentral.